GUGGGGAAUAUUGGACAAUGGGCGAAAGCCUGAUCCAGCCAUGCCGCGUGUGUGAAGAAGGUCUUCGGAUUGUAAAGCACUUUAAGUUGGGAGGAAGGGCAGUAAGUUAAUACCUUGCUGUUUUGACGUUACCGACAGAAUAAGCACCGGCUAACUUCGUGCCAGCAGCCGCGGUAAUACGAAGGGUGCAAGCGUUAAUCGGAAUUACUGGGCGUAAAGCGCGCGUAGGUGGUUUUGUAAGUUGGAGGUGAAAUCCCCGGGCUCAACCUGGGAACUGCGUCCAAAACUGCAUGACUAGAGUACGGUAGAGGGUAGUGGAAUUUCCUGUGUAGCGGUGAAAUGCGUAGAUAUAGGAAGGAACACCAGUGGCGAAGGCGACCACCUGGACUGAUACUGACACUGAGGUGCGAAAGCGUGGGGAGCAAACAGGAUUAGAAACCCUGGUAGUCC
This 450-nucleotide ribosomal RNA is filed under the name uncultured bacterium. RNAcentral describes it as "partial 16S ribosomal RNA". It matches the Rfam family "Bacterial small subunit ribosomal RNA", at positions 354 to 796 of the family's 1533-position model. The record is from RNAcentral.